Long non-coding RNA from Anolis carolinensis (green anole), 2599 nucleotides. RefSeq lists it as uncharacterized. The record is from RefSeq and is a predicted model, not a curated record. The transcript is spliced from 2 exons. NCBI's taxonomy places the organism in Eukaryota, Metazoa, Chordata, Lepidosauria, Squamata, Anolidae.
CCUUACUUCAGGGAUCCCCCCCCCAAGAAAUUCCCCUCCAGAGAGUUCAGCCCAGUCUAACGUGGAGGAGGGCUCCCAGCCCCCUCCCCUCUCACCCCGAAACACACCUGAUCCAAAACACUGUUCCUCUUCUCAAGUCACACUCUCUCAGCCCCCAUCCCAGCCGUUCCUUUGAAGCCUGAUGCCCCCCCCCCCAAUAUUGUAUCUGCCCCUGCCACUCAACUCCUGCUACAUUCUGAGUUUUCCUCAGAUGGGAAGAAUCACCCCACCAUUCCCCCUCCUUCUCUUGCCCCCACCAGGCUCUCUCUCUCUCUCUCUCUCUCUCUCUCUCUCUCUCUCUGCGCCCAUUCCUCUCUUGGAGAGAGAGGAGAAGGAGGGGCCGCGGGGAGAUUGUGCAAAGAGGACACUUUUUUCUCUUCCUGUUUUUGGAGGGGCAAAGGGGGGAGGGGGGCAUUUCUUUAGCCCCUUCUGUUUCUUAAUUUCCCCUUUUCUUUCUCUCCCAUCUGGGAAGCAUGGCAAAGGAUUUGGGUGGGGGAGGGGGACUCCCAGAAAAGUGUUGGUUUAAAAGCCACCAGUGAUAUAUAGUUUUCUGGGAAGGAGGGCUGGAAUGGACUAGCUUAGUGCUAUGCUCUCUCUCUCUCUCCCUUUUCUUCUGUGCCAUCUCACCUCCCUAUUUUCAAAGGUUCAAGCCCUAAUAUUUUGUGACCCCCCCCCCCAGAGAAAUCCUGCUGCUUCUGUGGUUUUAACUUUUUCUUGUCUCUCUCUUCUCAAACCUCCCUUAUCUUAGGGAGAAAGGGGGGUGGAAGAAUGGAUUUAUUUUUCUAUAUGUGAGUUUUUUUUCUCUCUCUCUCUUCCACUUCAUGUUUUCCUAGGCCAAAAUGCACUUCAACAUUCUCCUUUUUCAAAGCUUUCUCCCCCCCCCCUUCCUUCCCCUGUAAAGGGGACUCCCAUUUCUCCUUAUAAACAUACAGUCAAAAUCCUGGUUUACUUUUAUAGUAAAGGCACUCUUUCACUCUCCACAGUUCCCCAACAAUCUCCUUUCUUCCUUUCGGGUCCUUCUCCCUCCCUUUCCCUGAGUGCAUGCGUGUGAAUGUUCUAAAAAUCCCUCUAACUGCCUUUAAAAUAUGAGGAGGGCAUUAGAGUCCAGGGGACCUUCCAGGCACAGCUGAAGAGAUCCAGAGGACCGGACCCAACCACCUGACUGAGGACACAGACCAGACUGCAAGACCCAUAAUCCAUACCUGCCACCAUGAACAGUUCUAAGACCUGGGUAGGGGCUCUCGGAGUGCGCUGUGGAUUUCAUGCAGCAGCUAGAACCCAGAGGCCAUUGGAGAUGGUCCUGUGAGGGCUUUUAUGGCCAGACCACCGUAUGGUGCCCUCCAGCUGGCCUGGUUCUGCCCUGGCAAAGGGCUACUGAGUGCAGGUCUGCCUUUGACGCUGCCAAGGAGGCCCUCAUGACAUCACCAGGGGACAGAAUUGGCCGCCAUGGCAGAAGAUGUCCCAGAAGAAGUGAACAGGAUUCUACCAGUGACCACCAUGAGGGAAGGAUGUUCCGCCCUCACCAGAGCUGUGCCAAAGAAGGACCCCAGGACUGCUGGAGCCCUCACAAGGUAUGAGUGACUUCCCUGACUAACCCCACCACGGGAGGGAGGGGGGCUUAUAAUCUGUCCUUAGUUUCCCUAGGCACUCUCUCCUUCCCGUCUCCUCUGUUGGAGUGCUGGACCUGCCUGCAGUCACCAGGAGGCGCCGUGCUGUGAGGCGCAGAAGCUGUGCCCAGUUGUCCCCAGCUGCCAACUACAAAGGGGGGCCCAAGCUGCAGCCAAGAAAAGGCAGCCAAAUGGGAGUACUGCAUCACAGCCUCCAUCAUCCCCAGCCCUCACCACCUCCACCUUCAUGCUCCAUUUCCCAUGACUCCAGACCAAGGGACAUCUGCUUCAACACCAUGGGAUCACCCACCACUGACUGAACCUCAGCUUUCACCUCUUCAAGCUCCUGCCCUCCAACCAAAAGGCACAAUCUGAUCUACCAAGGCAAAGGCCCUGCAUGCAGUGAAAUGUCGGGGCUUUGGGAAAUGUUCAUAGCCAUUUCCAAGCCCCGAAGGGGGGAAAAUGUGAUCGAGAUGACCACUCUCCCCCCCCCCCCCAGGACUUUGUAAAAGAUAGUUCAAAAGUCAAGACUUUAUGUUCUAUAUUCCAUAUAUUUAUAGUAGAAGGUGAUUGAGACUUUUUACUGGAGUUUACUGUGGAUUAUCCCUGCACUCUGAGGCAAGAGAUAACAACUUCAUGAAUUGUAAAAUCAUGCUGCUAAAACUCCACUUUUAUGAAUUUCCAUAUUGGGUUCCCCAGAUGUUAUGAACUUCGUAUUUAUCAAAUGUCUUUCAAUUGUUUAUAUCAUUCAUGAUUCCCCCUUAUGCAAUGUAACUCACUUUUAUGGAUUCUCCCUUAUUUCCAUGAAAUCUAUCUGUCUGCCUAUAUGUAUUUGUACUCUUUGGGAUCCCCGGAAAAUAUGUAUUUUUCCCAGCAGGGUUUAUAUUCCAACUUUGUUUUAUUUUUCAUUUUAUUUCAUAUAAUUGUCAAGUCAUGAAAUCAAAUAGGAAAUA